This is a long non-coding RNA of Rhipicephalus microplus (southern cattle tick), 406 nucleotides long. NCBI's taxonomy places the organism in Eukaryota, Metazoa, Arthropoda, Arachnida, Ixodida, Ixodidae. The record is from RefSeq and is a predicted model, not a curated record.
GGAAGCCAUUUGGUGCAGGUGAAGAAUCAUGAGGGCUGCGCUGGUGGCUGUGGUGUUUUUCCUGGCUGUCUCAACAGCCCAGGCAAUCCUUCUAAAAGCCCUUGGAGCAGGAGCUCUAGGAUUGGCCGCUGGAGCCUUGCUUGGUGGCGCUCUGUCGCAUGGUAUAGGCGGCGGUGGUGGCGGCUACUAUCCUUAUCCCUACAGCCGCUCAUACGGUGGUGUUUUUGGCUUCGGAGGAGGUCAUGGAUUCUACGGAUAGACAAAGCUUUGCUACUAUACCCGCACCUUGGACACAAUCAAGACUUUUCCGGUAUUCCUAAAGGCAGAUCAACGAUUCAUGGCCGGAAGAGUUUUUGCUCUAAUUUGAUAGCACUCAGGCAAAAUAAAAAUUAUUUAUUGCUUCCUC